GUUCCCUCUCUGGACACCUGGUCAUUUCCAGUUGUGUGAAUCUUGCAGUGAAGCUCAUUCCCGGGCAGUGGUCAGAAAAAAACAGCUUUGACUUGAAGGGUUUUCCAAGCCAAGACUAUGGAGUUGACUGUGGGAUCUUCAUGCUGAUGUCUGCUCUGUACGUGGCACUGGAUGCACCAUUCGACUGUACUAUAGUAAGUAUCCUAUUUACUUUCACAGCAAUGGAGUCUUGAAUCUUUUGAAAGUUGUUAAAUAUGUUUCAUAUUAAUAUUUUACAGUCACACAUGCCCUACUUGUGUAAAUGGUGGUGCUUGCUGUUGAUGGAGAACUUUGAUCUCAGGAGCUCUGGCAAGUUAUUUGCACACCGGAGAGAGGAAGCCAAAGCUGUGCUUGAAGGACAACACGUGCCCACUUCCAGACUGAAAAAGCGCAAGUUCCAGGAAGUCAGUCAGGAGUCAGCAGUUGUUGAAGAUCUGCGUCCUGCUGUGCAGUGGGUUGUCCAAAAUAAGGCACUUUUCCGUGGACACGUAACAAUGCCAAAAUAUCUGUCCUUAAAUCAAGGGGACCAGCAGAGGGUCUUAAGAGACAUGUCAGAGGAAGAAGACACUGGAGCAAGGGACUUGUUCCUCUUUGUUUUUCAGUUUGCAGAGGACAUGGAGCUCUUUCUGAAAGCAUGUGCUGAUGAGCAGGGAAUAAGGGUCAGUGCUAUGUUUGACAUGUAAUGGACAAAUGAAGGCACUGGCUGUGUUUGUUUGUUUGUUUAAUAUGUCGUUGCUGUUUUUGUUUGUUUUUGCAUAGUACAAAAUUCCAAUUAAACUUAUUUCAAAAUGUU
Oreochromis niloticus (Nile tilapia) is the source of this 832-nucleotide long non-coding RNA. RefSeq lists it as uncharacterized. The record is from RefSeq and is a predicted model, not a curated record. The transcript has 6 exons. Lineage: Eukaryota; Metazoa; Chordata; Actinopteri; Cichliformes; Cichlidae.